This 274-nucleotide ribosomal RNA is filed under the name uncultured bacterium. RNAcentral describes it as "partial 16S ribosomal RNA". It matches the Rfam family "Archaeal small subunit ribosomal RNA", at positions 473 to 747 of the family's 1478-position model. The record is from RNAcentral.
AAACCAGCACCUCAAGUGGUCAGGAGGAUUAUUGGGCCUAAAGCAUCCGUAGCCGGCUCAGUAAGUUUUCGGUUAAAUCUGUACGCUCAACGUACAGGCUGCCGGGAAUACUGCAGAGCUAGGGAGUGGGAGAGGUAGACGGUACUCGGGAGGAAGUGGUAAAAUGCUUUGAUCUUUCGAUGACCACCUGUGGCGAAGGCGGUCUACCAGAACACGUCCGACGGUGAGGGAUGAAAGCUGGGGGAGCAAACCGGAUUAGAAACCCGAGUAGUCC